RNAcentral lists this ribosomal RNA (699 nucleotides) under uncultured bacterium. RNAcentral describes it as "bacterial SSU rRNA". It matches the Rfam family "Bacterial small subunit ribosomal RNA", at positions 9 to 692 of the family's 1533-position model. The record is from RNAcentral.
GAGUUUGAUCCUGGCUCAGAGCGAACGUUAGCGGCGGGCUUAACACAUGCAAGUCGAACGCGAAAACCCCUUCGGGGGCAAGUAGAGUGGCGCACGGGUGAGUAACACGUAGGCAAUCUUCCCUCUGGAGGGGGACAAGCAUCCGAAAGGAUGUCUAAUACCGCAUAAGACCACAGCAUCUACGGAUGCAGGGGUAAAAGGUGGCUUCGGCUACCACCAGAGGAUGAGCCUGCGUACCAUCAGCUUGUUGGUGGGGUAACGGCCUACCAAGGCAAAGACGGUUAGCUGGUCUGAGAGGAUGAUCAGCCACACUGGCACUGAAACACGGGCCAGACUCCUACGGGAGGCAGCAGUGGGGAAUAUUGGACAAUGGGCGCAAGCCUGAUCCAGCCACGCCGCGUGAGUGAUGAAGGCCUUCGGGUUGUAAAGCUCUGUGGGGAGGGACGAAAAAGGUACGUAAGAUAACGACGUGCCCUUGACGGUACCUCUUUAGCAAGCACCGGCUAACUCUGUGCCAGCAGCCGCGGUAAGACAGAGGGUGCGAACGUUGCUCGGAAUCACUGGGCGUAAAGCGCGUGUAGGCUGAUAUGCAAGUCAGGUGUGAAAUCCCUGGGCUCAACCCAGGAACUGCAUCUGAAACUGCAUGUCUGGAGUGUCGGAGAGGGAAGCGGAAUUCCUGGUGUAGAGGUGAAAUUCGUA